AAAGGUUGACCUCGGAUCAGGUAGGAAUACCCGCUGAACUUAAGCAUAUCAAUAAGCGGAGGAAAU
Molecule: ribosomal RNA, 66 nt
Filed under: Colletotrichum gloeosporioides
Lineage: Eukaryota; Fungi; Ascomycota; Sordariomycetes; Glomerellales; Glomerellaceae
Description: partial 28S ribosomal RNA
Rfam family: Eukaryotic large subunit ribosomal RNA
Source: RNAcentral